This 492-nucleotide ribosomal RNA is filed under the name uncultured bacterium. RNAcentral describes it as "partial 16S ribosomal RNA". It matches the Rfam family "Bacterial small subunit ribosomal RNA", at positions 29 to 507 of the family's 1533-position model. The record is from RNAcentral.
AGUGAACGCUGGCGGUAGGCCUAACACAUGCAAGUCGAACGGCAGCACAGUAAGAGCUUGCUCUUACGGGUGGCGAGUGGCGGACGGGUGAGGAAUACAUCGGAAUCUACUUUUUCGUGGGGGAUAACGUAGGGAAACUUACGCUAAUACCGCAUACGACCUACGGGUGAAAGCAGGGGAUCUUCGGACCUUGCGCGAUUGAAUGAGCCGAUGUCGGAUUAGCUAGUUGGCGGGGUAAAGGCCCACCAAGGCGGCGAUCCGUAGCUGGUCUGAGAGGAUGAUCAGCCACACUGGAACUGAGACACGGUCCAGACUCCUACGGGGGGCAGCAGUGGGGAAUAUUGGACAAUGGGCGCAAGCCUGAUCCAGCCAUACCGCGUGGGUGAAGAAGGCCUUCGGGUUGUAAAGCCCUUUUGUUGGGAAAGAAAAGCAGCAGGUUAAUACCCCGCUGUUCUGACGGUACCCAAAGAAUAAGCACCGGCUAACUUCGUG